ACAUACAUGUGUUACUUACUAUA
Molecule: non-coding RNA, 23 nt
Filed under: Arabidopsis thaliana (thale cress)
Lineage: Eukaryota; Viridiplantae; Streptophyta; Magnoliopsida; Brassicales; Brassicaceae
Source: RNAcentral